UUUGCAGAAUAUGGUAUGUGACGUCACAGAGGAUCAAGCGGACCACGACGUAAAGCAGGAAUGACGAAAAGUCAGCAAAUAAAGCUGCCGAAGAAAAGCGCAAUUCGAAGAACAAAGACGAAGACGCCGAUAAAGGAUACACGGUUUGAGGUUUGAGUAUUACAUAUGUAUGCGUUGCAUGUUAUGUGUGUGUGUCUGUCUGCGCUGUUGUACACUUAUUUGCUGGACCUAGUGUUGCCAGUUAUUUUUUGGUCAAUCACUAUUAUAGUGCAUUUUGCAUUGCUGGACCUAGUGUUGCCAGUUAUUUUUUGGUCAAUCACUAUUAUAGUGCAUUUUGCAUGUCUAUGAAAUAUAUGCAAUGAAACUAUGGCGAACUUCAUUGCUGGAUCAGAUUUUGUUGUUCUACUCUCUAUUGUGUGUUUCUUCUGCAAAGAUCGAAUCUUUCAACGAUUCUGUAUUGUCCUAAUCACUUGGUAAGAACGCUAUGUUGGUACACAAAUACUUGAGUAAUAUCAACACGCAGUAUAAUAUACGCAUAAUUAAAAUCCAAUACUUUCCAUUUAUUCUGUAAAAUAUAAACUACUCAACACCAAUAAAUAAUUCAUAUUAUACAAACGUCAUGUAGCGUGAUUGGGACGAUGGCCACGUCACAAUUACGCUACGACGUCAAUUCGGUGGGUCAGAGCAUUGUCAUGACCCUGCGUUUGGUGCGGUUCCGUCACGUCGAUUGAGUUACGUCACGGUCAGGUUGUUGCGUGGACGUCGCCGCCAGUGAUGCUACGCUCGGUUUUAGGUCACUGUCAAUGCGGUUCGUAACAACUUGACGCAGUUUCGUAACGGUCGAUGCGGUGCGUAGCAUCCGGACGUUAUUAUAUUGUGUGAAGAUACGACGAAAGUAUCGCGGUACCAACAUGGCGACUUACCUUUUGAUUAGGACAUGCGGAGCUGUUGUUGGCUUCGACUCCUUGUUGUUGGACAUUCAAUAUGGUGUACACUGCAGAUGAUUAUCCUUCAGGAAUUGAACCAUAUUUUAUUUGUAGAUGUUUCAAUGAUUAUGUCCGCGUUAAUAAAUUUUUGACUAUUGUCCUCUUUUUGAAUGAUUGAGCUGUUGUGUUUGUUGCAUGUUUGUCACAGUAUUGUCUCUGCGCUCGUUGUACUAUUUUUGUCUUUUUGUCGGUGUGUUAUUUGUAUUCGUUGUAUUAUUUUUUGUCU
Ciona intestinalis (vase tunicate) is the source of this 1212-nucleotide non-coding RNA. NCBI's taxonomy places the organism in Eukaryota, Metazoa, Chordata, Ascidiacea, Phlebobranchia, Cionidae. The record is from RefSeq and is a predicted model, not a curated record.